UUUUUUUCGCCUGUCAGAUUUACUUGCCAUAACUCUUUUCAUUUUAAAUCUUCUCGAACUAAAAAGUAUAGCAGCAUCGAUAACAAAAAACACGACAAGUUCACGUCUUUAGAAAUUUAACAAUCGUAAACUUGGGGAAAAUCCAGUAAAGGAGAAUCCCAGGGUUGAAUUCAAUAUCGUAGCAGCUACGUAGUGCUACGUAGAUUUUGACUAUUGAACGUAUAGCUAUAGACUAGUUGCUACAUAGAUAUUGAUAGAGACUACGUAGCCGCUACGUAGCAGCUACGAUAUUGAACUCAACUCAAAGGGUGACAAUAAUGUAUCAUGGUCCAAUUAGUUACUCGAGUUACAAUAUUGAAACAAACUUUGCAUAAUCUGAAAAAAACCCAUCUAAAUUGACAAGGUUAAUGCCAGAAAAAAGUUCUUAAAUAUAUUUUUUCUUCUCAGAUUAACUUGCUAUAACUCUUUUCAUUUUAAUUCUUCUCGAACUACCAAGUAAACCUGCCUCUAUCAAAAGAACGACAACUUCACGUUUAAUGUCAGAGAUCUCAAAUGUUCUUUCCAUGCCAACUAUCAUCAUUGUCAUUAGAUACUGAGAUAGUGUUAGAAGCAAUGGGGGAAGCUGGUUAAGUCAAAGCAAAUAGUAAAGUAAUUUCGCGAUUAUCUGAUAUUUUCCAACUAAUUAAUUAGCGUUCCUCUCUGUCCUUUUCCAUAUCUACACAUUUAUCCUCUUCGAUCAUGUUUAGUUUUUUCUUUUUACUUUUAAUUUAUCCAUCCUUUCCCAUUUCAUCAUUUCAAAAUAUCUGCAAUACAUC
This 815-nucleotide long non-coding RNA is filed under the name Mytilus galloprovincialis (Mediterranean mussel). The record is from RNAcentral. Lineage: Eukaryota; Metazoa; Mollusca; Bivalvia; Mytilida; Mytilidae.